GCACUGGAAUAACAGCUGUCUUCAUC
RNAcentral lists this small RNA (26 nucleotides) under Bombyx mori (domestic silkworm). Its description in RNAcentral is "ovarian small RNA-16429". The record is from RNAcentral. Lineage: Eukaryota; Metazoa; Arthropoda; Insecta; Lepidoptera; Bombycidae.